RNAcentral lists this ribosomal RNA (229 nucleotides) under uncultured bacterium. Its description in RNAcentral is "partial 16S ribosomal RNA". It matches the Rfam family "Bacterial small subunit ribosomal RNA", at positions 118 to 347 of the family's 1533-position model. The record is from RNAcentral.
UGGGCAACCUGCCCUCAGCUCUGGGAUAACUCCAAGAAAUUGGGGCUAAUACCGGAUAUGACUGCUGACCGCAUGAUCGGAGGUGGAAAGCUCCGGCGGAGAAGGAUGAGCUCGCGGCCUAUCAGCUAGUUGGUGUGGGUAAUGGCCCACCAAGGCGACGACGGGUAGCCGGCCUGAGAGGGUGACCGGCCACACUGUGACUGAGACACGGCCCAGACCUCUACGGGAG